CCACCCCAAACCUUACUAACCCCACCCCAAACCGGGUUAGUGGGGUUUACUAACCCCACUCUCCCUCCCAACUUUAACCCCGCACGCAUCCCGAGUCCUCACCUUUUUCUUCUUUAUCAAUCAUUAACCCCACUCCCCCUCCCAACUUUAACCCCGCACGCAUCCCGAGCUCUCACCUUUUUCUUCUUUAUUAAUCAUUAUCUUUUUAUCCCACCUACUUUAACCAAACACUUUUUUUCACUAUCCUAGACUAACUCCAAUCUCCAACCAAACAUAAAAAAAUUUUAACACCAUUUUAACCCUGAACUUAACCCUAUCCCUGAAAUAGCUACUUUUUCUUAACCCCGAACCAAACGGGGGCUUAGUUGCUAAAAGUAGCUUAGAAGAUAUUCCGAGAUGUCGUUGAUGUGUUAGAUUUUAAACUAGCUUCUGGUGCGUGUAAUAAGUCUGAAAAGCUGUAUCAACUAUCAAUUAUCUUU
RNAcentral lists this long non-coding RNA (479 nucleotides) under Ananas comosus (pineapple). RNAcentral describes it as "long non-coding RNA (ACOM_LNC004488)". The record is from RNAcentral. Lineage: Eukaryota; Viridiplantae; Streptophyta; Magnoliopsida; Poales; Bromeliaceae.